Long non-coding RNA from Tupaia belangeri chinensis (Chinese tree shrew), 993 nucleotides. RefSeq lists it as uncharacterized. The transcript is spliced from 4 exons. NCBI's taxonomy places the organism in Eukaryota, Metazoa, Chordata, Mammalia, Scandentia, Tupaiidae. The record is from RefSeq and is a predicted model, not a curated record.
ACACUCGAGCUUCCUUUUCUCCUUUUGCCACUUUACUUUGGAUCACAGGCCAUGCAAGGAUUGGAACCAGGAACAAUUCAGACAGAAACAAUUGUAGGCUACUAUGAGAAUUGCAAAGCAAGCACAGACGUUCUCGUUUUCUGAUUCUGUCUUGAACUCCUGACUGAUGUCUCUUCCAAACUCCCCCGAGUAUGGCUAUUCUACCCUCGCACCCACCUUCAUUACUGAUUAUGUGAAUUCUUUAUUCUUUAACACCUGUGAGAGGGAAAGGACUCUUGCCCUGAGUAGCCAGGAGAGUGCACAGACCAUCAAAGAGAAGAGCAAGAGACUCCCUAUUCCCCCAACGGUCCUCUUCUGCUAGAGGAAGUACUUACUGUAAAACAUUCCAAUUUCCUAAACAGAUCCUCUUCCCCAACGUCCCUUUUCCCCUUUUCCCUUCCAGUAAAAAUGUUGGCUCCUUACACUGGCGGCAUGGCUGUCUGGAAUUCAGCCCACCUCCGUUCUGCCCUGGUCCACUUUAUAUCCUAUUCCAAGCAGACAGAAUAAAGCAGAUCUCAGCAGAGACCUGGAAUUCGGAGUCCUGUCUAUUUCAUUCAGCCUCCAAGAAGGAAGAGCGCUCAUGCAGGAAAAACAAGUUGUCCUUUCCCAGUACCAGCCCCAGGACUGGGUUUCCAGCAAACAGACCAAGGUACAACCCCAGACGGAAACUCCCAGCCUUACUGGGGAAAAACGGGGUUUUCCAGAGACCUACUCCUUUAGGGUUUAAAAGCGCGUCCCCUGGGAGCUUCGCUUUCACUUCUCUGGGGAGUUCCGAGCUGCGAGAGCCCAGUUACUCGCCAACCUGAGCCGCUUAUCAGGUGCGACCUCAAGGAAGUACAGUACUGCGUGUCCACCUAAACCGAAUCCAGAGACUAGUCCCAUCAAUCUCACCUCCAGAAUUAAUCCUACCAGUGUCUGUACUCUUGAAGUCAUACUCAAAACAUUACUUUACAG